RNAcentral lists this long non-coding RNA (278 nucleotides) under Nicotiana benthamiana. RNAcentral describes it as "long non-coding RNA (NBEN_LNC016394)". Lineage: Eukaryota; Viridiplantae; Streptophyta; Magnoliopsida; Solanales; Solanaceae. The record is from RNAcentral.
GUACAUAUUCAUUAUUGGAAGAAUAUGAACAUGCUAUUGGUAUUGAAUAUACCACACUCACCUCUAGAAGGGGGUUUGAGAUGAUAUAAGAAAAUAAUGUCAUUAUUAUGGCAUGAAUGGUCAUUGGUCACGUACCUAUUGUAAGCCAAAAUAUUUUGAUAAUGUGAUUAUUAAAGGACAAUAAUAAUGCAAGAAACAUAUCUUGCAUAUAAUUUUGACCAUGAACAUAAUGGUACAACUUUCUCUUUGAAAGAAAUAUUCACUAUAUGGGUAUUGAU